This 253-nucleotide ribosomal RNA is filed under the name uncultured bacterium. RNAcentral describes it as "partial 16S ribosomal RNA". It matches the Rfam family "Bacterial small subunit ribosomal RNA", at positions 524 to 776 of the family's 1533-position model. The record is from RNAcentral.
UACGGAGGGGGCAAGCGUUGUUCGGAACCAUUGGGCGUAAAGGGCGCGUAGGCGGCUGAUCAAGUCGGGUGUGAAAUCCCUCGGCUCAACCGAGGAACUGCAUUCGAUACUGGUCGGCUAGAGUCCGGGAGGGGAUGGUGGAAUUCCCAGUGUAGCGGUGAAAUGCGUAGAUAUUGGGAAGAACACCGGUGGCGAAGGCGGCCAUCUGGACCGGUACUGACGCUGAGGCGCGAAAGCCAGGGGAGCGAAUGGG